Molecule: ribosomal RNA, 253 nt
Filed under: uncultured bacterium
Lineage: Bacteria
Description: partial 16S ribosomal RNA
Rfam family: Bacterial small subunit ribosomal RNA
Source: RNAcentral
CACGUAGGGCGCGAGCGUUGUCCGGAAUUAUUGGGCGUAAAGAGCUCGUAGGCGGCCUGUUGCGUCCGCUGUGAAAGCUCGGGGCUUAACCCCGGGUCGGCAGUGGAUACGGGCAGGCUAGAGGUAGGUAGGGGAGAAUGGAAUUCCCGGUGUAGCGGUGAAAUGCGCAGAUAUCGGGAGGAACACCGGUGGCGAAGGCGGUUCUCUGGGCCUGUACUGACGCUGAGGAGCGAAAGCGUGGGGAGCGAACAGG